GACAGGGGAUGCAAGCGUUACUCGGAAUUACUGGGCGUAAAGCGUCUGCAGGUGUCUUGCCACGUCUGGUGUCAAAUGGUGCGGCUCAACCGCAUCAACGUGCCGGAAACGAGCGAGAUCGAGUCAUUCAGAGGUACCUGGAAUGUCGUGUGUAGGGGUAAAAUCCGUAGAUCCACGAUGGAACGCCAAAAGCGAAGGCAGGGUACUGGGAAUGCACUGACACUCAGAGACGAAAGCGUGGGGAGCAAAGGGG
RNAcentral lists this ribosomal RNA (253 nucleotides) under uncultured bacterium. Its description in RNAcentral is "partial 16S ribosomal RNA". It matches the Rfam family "Bacterial small subunit ribosomal RNA", at positions 524 to 776 of the family's 1533-position model. The record is from RNAcentral.